RNAcentral lists this ribosomal RNA (778 nucleotides) under uncultured Neocallimastigales. RNAcentral's name for it is "partial large subunit ribosomal RNA". It matches the Rfam family "Eukaryotic large subunit ribosomal RNA", at positions 20 to 646 of the family's 3401-position model. The record is from RNAcentral. Lineage: Eukaryota; Fungi; Neocallimastigomycota; Neocallimastigomycetes; Neocallimastigales.
CAUCACUACGCUAGAUGCAUAUCAAUAAGCGGAGGAAAAGAAACUAACAAGGAUUCCCUUAGUAACGGCGAGUGAAGCGGGAAGAGCUCAAAUUUGAAAUCUUCAGGUUUUACCUUGACGAAUUGUAGUUUAAAGAAGUGAUUUCUGUUGAGUGUUUUGGUAAAAGUUCUUUGGAAUAGGACAUCAUAGAGGGUGAGAAUCCCGUAUUUGACCAUUAUCUUCCAGCUGUGUGAUACACUUUCAAAGAGUCGGAUUGUUUGGGAAUGCAGUCCAAAAUGGGUGGUAAAUUUCAUCUAAAGCUAAAUAUUGGCGAGAGACCGAUAGCGAACAAGUACCGUGAGGGAAAGAUGAGAAGAACUUUGAAAAGAGAGUUAAACAGUACGUGAAAUUGUCAAAAGGGAAGCGUUUGACACCAGUGUUGUUUUCUCGAAAAUCAAUUAAAAAAUGUUGGAUUUUGUGUUGUAUUGACCUUAAUCAGCUUUCUUCACUUUUUCCUAGCUUUUUUUAAUGCACUUUUCGUUUAACAAGUCAACAUCAGUUUCUUUUGCUGUAAAAGAGUCAUUGGAAGGUGGCUUUCUUUUCGGAGAAAGUGUUUAUAGCCUUUGACUUCCUGCAAUCGGAGAGAUUGAGGUCUGCAGCGUAGAUCCUUCGGGGUUAGAUACAUUUGUGCUAAGCUAUAGCCUUUUCAUAGACAACUUGUUGACUAUGAUCAGUCAUGUAGCUUACUCGCUUAUGCUAUUUUACCUACGCUUAGGAUGUUGACGAGACUGUCGAUCUC